This 94-nucleotide non-coding RNA is filed under the name Paraburkholderia fungorum. Lineage: Bacteria; Pseudomonadati; Pseudomonadota; Betaproteobacteria; Burkholderiales; Burkholderiaceae. The record is from RNAcentral.
UUCUAUGGGCGGGCCGUGGUGAGGGGGCCGCGAGGUCCGCCGGUUAUGGUUUAACGCCCGGUCUGUCAACCUCGCUACGUGCCCGCUCACCCCA